Molecule: ribosomal RNA, 253 nt
Filed under: uncultured bacterium
Lineage: Bacteria
Description: partial 16S ribosomal RNA
Rfam family: Bacterial small subunit ribosomal RNA
Source: RNAcentral
UACGUAGGGGGCAAGCGUUGUCCGGAUUUAUUGGGCGUAAAGAGCGUGUAGGCGGCUUGGUAGGUCCGCUGUGAAAACUCGAGGCUCAACCUCGAGAUGUCGGCGGAAACCACUUGGCUAGAGUCCGGAAGAGGAGAGUGGAAUUCCUGGUGUAGCGGUGAAAUGCGCAGAUAUCAGGAGGAACACCAAUGGCGAAGGCAGCACUCUGGUACGUGACUGACGCUGAGACGCGAAAGCGUGGGGAGCAAACAGG